UUCCACAGCUUUCUUGAACU
Molecule: microRNA, 20 nt
Filed under: Moringa oleifera (horseradish tree)
Lineage: Eukaryota; Viridiplantae; Streptophyta; Magnoliopsida; Brassicales; Moringaceae
Also listed under: 5 other names
Source: RNAcentral